RNAcentral lists this ribosomal RNA (459 nucleotides) under uncultured bacterium. Its description in RNAcentral is "partial 16S ribosomal RNA". It matches the Rfam family "Bacterial small subunit ribosomal RNA", at positions 338 to 795 of the family's 1533-position model. The record is from RNAcentral.
CCUACGGGCGGCUGCAGUGAGGAAUAUUGGUCAAUGGCCGAGAGGCUGAACCAGCCAAGUCGCGUGAGGGAAGACGGCCCUACGGGUUGUAAACCUCUUUUGUCGGGGAGCAAAGCGAGUCACGUGUGACUCAUUGAGAGUACCCGAAGAAAAAGCAUCGGCUAACUCCGUGCCAGCAGCCGCGGUAAUUCGGAGGAGGCGAGCGUUAUCGGGAUUUUUUUGGGUUAGAGGGUGGGACGGGGGAGGUGCAAGUCAGCGGUCAAAUUGAGGGGCUCAACCCCGUACUGCCGUUGAAACUGGAUCACUGGAGUGCGCGAGAGGUAUGCGGAAUGCGUGGUGUAGCGGUGAAAUGCAUAGAUAUCACGCAGAACUCCGAUGGCGAAGGCAGCAAACCGGCGCGCAACUGACGCUGAGGCACGAAAGCGUGGGUAGCGAACAGGAUUAGAUACCCGAGUAGUC